GGGCCGGAUUGGAUUUGACAGCGGGCCGAGGUGGUAAGUAAGCAUGCAGUGCGGAUGGAGGCGGGCACUUUAAACUCGGCUUUCAAAAAUUUAAUUGGCGAAAAUAAGUACGCUCUCGCUGCUUGAUUGAAGUCUAGUAGAUCAGCUUAAUUCUGGCUAAAGGUUGUCAGAACGAGACAUCGCCCGGGAGCAGUUUUUCCGAAGCGUCCCGAUUCGGCGGUGCAGUGAAAUCGGAAAUAGCCGGCAAGUGGCCUCGCACGGUUGGUGAAUUUUUAAGAGGAUAAGGUGACGAUUGGUGGCUUCGGUCCUGUCGUGGCUCGAAAAUCGAAGUCGGAGAUAAGCAUGUAGAAAGCUUAUUGCUUCCCUGUUUGGACGAGGGUUCAAUCCCCUCCCGGUCCAC
This 400-nucleotide transfer-messenger RNA is filed under the name Bacteroidaceae bacterium. Its description in RNAcentral is "transfer-messenger RNA, SsrA". It matches the Rfam family "transfer-messenger RNA". From Rfam's summary of the family: Bacterial tmRNA, also known as 10Sa RNA or SsrA, is named for its dual tRNA and mRNA-like properties. Its role is to liberate the mRNA from a stalled ribosome. To accomplish this part of the tmRNA is used as a reading frame that ends in a translation stop signal. The record is from RNAcentral. Lineage: Bacteria; Pseudomonadati; Bacteroidota; Bacteroidia; Bacteroidales; Bacteroidaceae.